UUUGUUUGGCUUGUUGAUUUGUAGGUCUGAAAAAAAAAAAAACCUGAACAUAUUUUCACAAUUGAUGCUGAAGACAUCCAAAGAUUUCAUGUUAUGAAACCAUCCAAUGAGCUUCCCUGACUCAACCAUGCGCUGGGGAAACCGGGGCAGACACGGAUGAGCUGUGAUCCCCCACCCUGCCUAUGACACGAUCUCACUCAACCAUGAGCUGUAGACAUACUGCAGGCAUCUGAAUUUUAACUGCAUUAAACCAGUCUGGACCAGCUGCAUGAUGAAGCAGAGUUUUGCUUGGAACCAGAGCCGAUGAUGCUGUUAUCCACCCAUCACAGCUUACCAGGACUUCUGGACAGUAAGAGUGUUGUCUCCCUAGUGCCUGCCCAUCCAUGGCAGAAGUCAGUGCCAACCACCCAUAGGAAAGUGGGCUUCUGACCCACCACUGUUCCUUGCACUGCCUGUCUCGUGUUGCAGUGCAUACACAAAAUCACAGAAAAAUUCAAGUUGGAAGAGACCUUUGAAGACCCAGUCCGCCUCUGACUGACUCCCUGCUAAGACAAUGGAAAACUUAGUCAUCUUCCUCAGAUCCCUCUUCAGCUCAGUUUGGAGCGUCUCUGAGGAAGGAUGCAGUGUCUUACAGGAAAGCUAUGGCUGAGUCAUCCUCUGGAUCCCUUUCUUUCAGAUUAGCAGUCCCUUUUACAAUAACUAAGCCAUUUUAUUGUAUUUCUCAAAAAUUGUUCCUUAGCAUGGCACUCACCCUAUGAUGUUUGGACCUGUGUUGUAGGUGGGACUGUAUCAGCACUCCACGGAGAGUUUAUAUCUCCCUUGGCUGAGCAAUGUCAACAAUACUCCAUUACCUGACCAUUAAAAGCCCUGAUGUCUCCUAUUGCCCUCACAUACAUUUGGUGAACGAUGGUUGAAUCUGCCUCUUCUGCCUCUACAAAAUCAGGAGCCUGAAUUUGAAACCACUCUACUUCCCUGGAACAUCCCCAUUUAGGGAAACCAAGCCAGAACCAAAACAUCCGAUUGAAUCCAAAGCUAGUAACGUGGGGGACUUCAUCUUGCUGAUGGAUACAGAGGACAGAGCAGCAUCUUUUCCUGAGUUAGGCAUCCCAUGCUCAGCCAUUCCCUGGGCAGACGGACAACAGCAGUGAUAUCCUGGCGGAGCUGGUGAGACACUUUAAAGCCAGGCACAUAUGUGAUUAACAUGAGCUGCAGAGCCCCACUAAUAACUCUGAAUUUGAAUUUACAGUAUUAACGAGACAGUUGGAGCAAAUAACCUGAGGUCUUGCCAGGAGGGAAUGUCCCCAAGGCAAUUACGAUGAAACACAUGGAUUUUCUGAAGGAAAGAGACACUUCCUGGAAGUUCAGCCAGCAGUGCUGGCAGGACUUGCAGUGGCAGCAUGGCAGCCUUACUCCUCUCUAAAGCAGGAUAGGGGAGAGAAGCAUGGUGUGCCACCAAAAAAUGGGAACCAUAGGAACUGAUGUGACUUGCAAGUAUCAGGAGGAAGAUGUGGCCAGGUGGGGAUGAUUCUUCCAUCCCAGAAAAAAAAUAAAUAAUUAAAUUCUUGAUGUUUUUCCCA
This is a long non-coding RNA of Anser brachyrhynchus (Pink-footed goose), 1577 nucleotides long. NCBI's taxonomy places the organism in Eukaryota, Metazoa, Chordata, Aves, Anseriformes, Anatidae. The record is from Ensembl.